GACGAACGCUGGCGGCGUGCCUAAUACAUGCAAGUAGAACGCACAGUUUAUACCGUAGCUUGCUACACCAUAGACUGUGAGUUGCGAACGGGUGAGUAACGCGUAGGUAACCUGCCUGGUAGCGGGGGAUAACUAUUGGAAACGAUAGCUAAUACCGCAUAAUAUUAAUUAUUGCAUGAUAAUUAAUUGAAAGGUGCAAUUGCACCACUACCAGAUGGACCUGCGUUGUAUUAGCUAGUAGGUGAGGUAACGGCUCACCUAGGCGACGAUACAUAGCCGACCUGAGAGGGUGAUCGGCCACACUGGGACUGAGACACGGCCCAGACUCCUACGGGAGGCAGCAGUAGGGAAUCUUCGGCAAGGGACGAAAGUCUGACCGAGCAACGCCGCGUGAGUGAAGAAGGUUUUCGGAUCGUAAAGCUCUGUUGUAAGAGAAGAACGGGUGUGAGAGUGGAAAGUUCACACUGUGACGGUAGCUUACCAGAAAGGGACGGCUAACUACGUG
This 505-nucleotide ribosomal RNA is filed under the name uncultured bacterium. Its description in RNAcentral is "partial 16S ribosomal RNA". It matches the Rfam family "Bacterial small subunit ribosomal RNA", at positions 28 to 507 of the family's 1533-position model. The record is from RNAcentral.